RNAcentral lists this unclassified non-coding RNA (519 nucleotides) under uncultured Glomus. RNAcentral describes it as "SSU rRNA". It matches the Rfam family "Eukaryotic small subunit ribosomal RNA", at positions 569 to 1092 of the family's 1831-position model. Lineage: Eukaryota; Fungi; Glomeromycota; Glomeromycetes; Glomerales; Glomeraceae. The record is from RNAcentral.
AGCAGCCGCGGUAAUUCCAGCUCCAAUAGCGUAUAUUAAAGUUGCUGCAGUUAAAAAGCUCGUAGUUGAAUUUCGGGACUAAUAUGUCGGUCGUGCCUCGGUACGUACUGGUUUAUUGGUUUCUCCUUUCUGAAGAACCAUGAUGUCAUUUAUUUGGUGUCGUGGGGAAUCAGGACUGUUACUUUGAAAAAUUAGAGUGUUUAAAGCAGGCUCACGCUUGAAUACAUUAGCAUGGAGUAAUGAAAUAGGACGUUUGAUUCUAUUUUGUUGGUUUCUAGGAUCGACGUAAUGAUUAAUAGGGAUAGUUGGGGGCAUUAGUAUUCAAUUGUCAGAGGUGAAAUUCUUGGAUUUAUUGAAGACUAACUACUGCGAAAGCAUUUGCCAAGGAUGUUUUCAUUAAUCAAGAGCGAAAGUUAGGGGAUCGAAGACGAUCAGAUACCGUCGUAGUCUUAACCAUAAACUAUGCCGACUAGGGAUCGGAUGAUGUUAAUUUUUAAUGUACUCAUUCGGCGCCUUAAC